UACCCUUGACAUGUCCUGGAGCCCGGUGAAAGCCGGGUGUGCCCGAAAGGGAACGGGAACACAGGUGCUGCAUGGCUGUCGUCAGCUCGUGUCGUGAGAUGUUGGGUUAAGUCCCGCAACGAGCGCAACCCUUGUCAUUAGUUGCUACAUUCAGUUGGGCACUCUAAUGAGACUGCCGGUGACAAACCGGAGGAAGGUGGGGAUGACGUCGUAUCUCACUG
RNAcentral lists this unclassified non-coding RNA (221 nucleotides) under uncultured Gammaproteobacteria bacterium. RNAcentral's name for it is "contains 16S-23S intergenic spacer region". It matches the Rfam family "Bacterial small subunit ribosomal RNA", at positions 980 to 1198 of the family's 1533-position model. The record is from RNAcentral. Lineage: Bacteria; Pseudomonadati; Pseudomonadota; Gammaproteobacteria.